CAGGUGCCCGCCACCUUGCCCAGCUAAUUCUUGUAUUUUUAGUAGAGACGGGUUUUCAUCAUAUUGGCCAGGCUGGUCUCGAACUCCUAACCUUGUGAUCCGCCUGCCUCGGCCUCCCAAAGUACUAAGAUUACAGGUGUAAGCCACCGCACCCAGCCCCAUGAUUGCCUUUUAAGAUAGGGUAGCUGCACUUUAACUAAGACAGAGGUUGGCCAACUCCAGCCCAUGGAUCAAAUGUGAACCACCUGCUGGGUUUUGUUGUUGUUGUUGUUGUUGUUGUUGUUUUGAGACCGAGUCUCGCUCUGUUGCCCAGGCUGGAGUGCAGUGGUGCAAUCUCGGCUCACUGCAACCUCCACCUCCCAGGUUCAAGCGAUUUGCCUGCCUCAGCCUCCCGAGUAGCCGGGACUACAGGUGCCUACCACCACGCCUGGCUAAUUUUUUUGUAUUUUUAGUAGAGACGGGGUUUCACCAUGUUAGCCAGGAUGGUCUCGAUCUCUUGACCUGGUGAUCCGCCCGCCUCGGCCUCCCAAAGUCCUGGGAUUACAAAUGUGAGCCACUGCGCUUGGCCCACCAACUGCUGUUUUUUAAACCCAUAAGCCAGGAAUGGGUUUUAUAAUUUUAAAUUGUUCAAAAAAACCAAAAGAAUAAUGUUUUGCGACAUGAAAAAUUAUAUGAAAUUCAGAUGUUGAUGAAUAAAGUUUUAUUGGCACACAGCAUGCACAUCUGCUCGCAUGCUGGCUUGUGGCAGGGCUGAGGGGCUGUGACAGCCCCAUAUGGCCCACAAAGCUGAAAAGAUUUGCUGUGAGGCCCUUUACAUAAUGCGUUUGCUGAUGCCAACUCUAAAUAUCUAUAUUUGCAUUGAAAUUGGUUUCAAAAAUAAAUAUGCGUUGAAUGCAGCUGGGCCUGUGAACAUGGUCAUUGUGUUUAGAAUGCGGUGUCUUUCCCAGAUGUUGUGUGUUUGUGUUGCCGAGGCUGCUGAAGGCGGCCUGUAGAGGGCAGGGGCCCAGGCAGGCACAGACACUUCACUGAUGUCUUGGUUGGUGCUUGGAGCACCUCAGGGAAUAUGUCCUCAGGGAAGGAAGACAGGCCGGGCGGAGGGGCCCCGGAGUGUUGGCUUCCACCAGGCUCCUGCUGUGGUGGUGCUCAGGGAGACGGCUGGAGGAUCUGAGGAGAGCCAAAGCCCCAGGCGGUGCCCUCCCCUCCUCCUUCUAAAGCAAAGUCCUGGCCCACUGCCUGUUGAAAAGCACUUUUUUCAACAAUACACACUGCGAAGUUUGAAGAAUUUUUCAGCGAACACUGCCCCUGCCACUCACCCCUGGAGUUUGCCGUGGGCAUUUGCUGUGCUGGCGCCAUCACACCUGGCAUCACCCCGGCCUCCGUUCCUGCCCUGUGUUCACCCAUCCUCCUGCUUGCGGUUUUUAUUGUAAAAUACACAGAACGUAAAAUUGACCACGACAGCCACCUUAACAUGCACCACUCAGGCACAGUACAUUCACAGCAUGGUGCCUCCAUCACUUUUACCUGCUUCUGAACAUUCCAUCCCAAGAAGAAACCGGUACUCAUCAGCAGGCCCUCCCCAGCACCCACCCCCAGCCCCGGCAGCCACUCAGCUGCCUCCUGCCUCUGCGGACCAGCCUGUUCCGGAGGCUUAAUGAGCAAAUCACAGCCUGUGGCCCUUGUGUCUGCUUCCUUCCCUUACGUGAAGGUUUCUAGGGCCAUGCCCGGUGUGGGGCACCCUUCCUUUUGAUGGCUGGGUAGUGUGCUGCGGUACGUGCGUGAGUUUCCCGAGACAUAACACAUUACCACAGGCCGGGUGGCCUCAGCCAGCGGAAAUGGAUUCUUGCCGGAUUCUGGAGGCCAGAAGUGCAAAAUCAAGGUGUCAGCCGGGCCCUCCCUCUGAGGCUCUCCGGAAAGGUCCUUGCUGUCCCCUGGCUGGUGGCUGCACCACUCCAGUCUCGGCCUCGGCCUUCACCCGGCAUCUCUACUGCACGUCUGCGUCUCUAAGGGCCCAGUCAUAGGAUUGAGGGCCCACCCUGGCCCAGCGUGACCUCAUCUUAGCUCACUAACACUGCAGAGACCCUACUUCCAAAGGCAGCCACACCCAUGUAGCACACGCGGGCCACACUUUGUCGUCCGCCGAUGGGCGCUGGGGGUGCUCCUGCCUUUUGGCCACUGAGUCGCGCUGCCCUGGAUGCUCAUAUGCAGGUCUGUGUGUGGACGUAAGUUUCAGUGUCUUGGGUGUACAGCUAGGAGUGGAACUGCAGGGUCACACGAUAACUGGGCUUCUAGGGGACAGUUACCACUCGACUUUGAAAUCUAGAUUUGUACAGACAUACGAGGGCCUGUGUAUUAUGUUGAAAAUAGACGCACGUGUUUAGAGGCCAGCUCCCUGCGAGCAUGCAGAUGCUGGUGUCAGGCUGGGAGGAGGCAGACGGACACAUUCCCCACAUGAAGACCAAGCAGAAGUGGAGGCGAAAGCCAGCGUGGGCUGACUGUGGAGCGGCCCCACUGUGCACGCACGCAGGCGAUGCUGGGGUUUGGGCUGACCGUGGAGCGGCCCCACUGUGCACGCACGCAGGCGAUGCUGGGGUUUGGGCUGACUGUGGAGCGGCCCCAUCGUGUAGGCACGCAGGCAAUGCUGGGGUUUGGCCGAGCUCUGCCGCUGGCUGGGGCACAGGGUGGCUCUGGCUCCCACGGUCCCCAACACGCUCUUGGCACCAUGGGCAGCUCCCCAGGCCAGAAGCACCUGCAGAAGGCGCUCAUUCCUCCUCCCCGUGCUCUUCCCUGCAGAUGGGAUGGGGUGACCUCGGGGUGUAUGGAGAGCCCUCCAGAGAGACCCCAAAUCUGGACCGGAUGGCUGCAGAAGGGAUGCUUUUCCCAAACUUCUAUUCUGCCAACCCUCUGUGCUCGCCAUGUAAGUCAGUGGGGCCCUCGCCCCCAGGAAAGGGUGAACCCAGCAGGCCGAGGCCUCCCGGGUCCUUCCAGCCCUGACCCUGGGUGGCCGCAUCAACCUUGUCUAUUCCUACUACUGCAGGGAGGGUGGCAGGUGGGCUCAGGCCUUUCUCAUCAGGUCCCAGCCCAGCUCCGUGCCGUGUGGGGUGCGGCACCUGCUAGGUUUUCAGGGUCAAAGUUGCGGUAUUGUUGGUGGCUGCUGUUCUCUGUUUCCCAGAGUCGAGGUCUGUGGCCACCUGGGGAGAGGCGCUGCAGUGUGGCUCCGUCCAGGGUACCUGGGAAGCAGGAGUCCCACUCCCUCCCUCCCUGGGGAGAGUCUCUCCUGCUGGAGACAGAAACGUGGCGUUGAUCGUGAGGAAGAGGGGAAGGCAGGGCAUGGGGCCGGUGCUUGAGGAUGGGGCCAUGUGGACCUGCACGCCCAGUGGGUGUCCCGGGAGCCUGUGAGAGGAGACAGGGUCUUGGGGACAAUGCUGAGCUGCAGGGCCCAAGGGCCAUGCGUCUUUCAGUGCAAUGGGUGCUGUGCCCCACUCAGGUGGUGGAGACGCUAACGGGGAUUGACAGGCGUGGCAGCCCCUUGUAAACCUGUGCGUGCCUCAUCUGUCACCGUCUGUCUACUCGGUGGGGCUCUUGUUGACACGCAGGGUCUGAGCCACACCCUUCUCAUCCAGUUUGUUUCUGUCACCACAUAGCGAGAGCGGCACUGCUCACAGGACGGCUGCCCAUCCGCAAUGGCUUCUACACCACCAACGCCCACGCCAGAAACGCCUACACACCGCAGGAGAUCGUGGGCGGCAUCCCAGACUCGGAGCAGCUCCUGCCGGAGCUUCUGAAGAAGGCCGGCUACGUCAGCAAGAUCGUUGGCAAGUGGCAUCUGGGUCACAGGCCCCAGUUCCACCCCCUGAAGCACGGAUUUGAUGAGUGGUUUGGAUCCCCCAACUGCCAUUUUGGACCUUAUGACAACAAGGCCAGGCCCAACAUUCCUGUGUACAGGGACUGGGAGAUGGUUGGCAGGUAUUAUGAAGAAUUUCCUAUUAAUCUGAAGACGGGGGAAGCCAACCUCACCCAGAUCUACCUGCAGGAAGCCCUGGACUUCAUUAAGAGACAGGCGCGGCACCACCCCUUCUUCCUCUACUGGGCUGUGGACGCCACGCACGCACCCGUCUAUGCCUCCAAACCCUUCUUGGGCACCAGUCAGCGAGGGCGGUAUGGAGACGCCGUCCGGGAGAUUGAUGACAGUAUUGGGAAGAUGCUGGAGCUCCUCCAAGACCUGCACGUCGCAGACAACACCUUCGUCUUCUUCACGUCGGACAACGGCGCUGCCCUCAUUUCCACCCCUGAACAAGGUGGCAGCAACGGCCCCUUUCUGUGUGGGAAGCAGACCACGUUUGAAGGAGGGAUGAGGGAGCCUGCCCUCGCAUGGUGGCCGGGGCACAUCGCCGCAGGCCAGGUGAACCACCAGCUGGGCAGCACCAUGGACCUCUUCACCACCAGCCUGGCCCUUGCGGGCCUGACGCCACCCAGCGACAGGGCCAUUGAUGGCCUCAACCUCCUCCCCGCCCUCCUGCAGGGCCAGCUGAUGGACAGGCCCAUCUUGUAUUACCGAGGCGACACGCUGAUGGCGGCCACCCUCGGGCAGCACAAGGCUCACUUCUGGACCUGGACCAACUCCUGGGAGAACUUCAGACAGGGCAUUGAUUUCUGCCCUGGGCAGAACGUUUCAGGGGUCACAACUCACAACCUGGAAGACCACACGAAGCUGCCUCUGAUCUUCCACCUGGGACGGGACCCAGGGGAGAGGUUCCCCCUCAGCUUUGCCAGUGCCGAGUACCAGGAGGCCCUCAGCAGGAUCACCUCGGUCGUCCAGCAGCACCAGGAGGCCUUGGACCCUGGGCAGCCCCAGCUCAACGUGUGCAACUGGGCAGUCAUGAACUGGGCACCUCCGGGCUGUGAAAAGUUGGGGAAGUGUCUGACACCUCCAGAAUCCAUUCCCAAGAAGUGCCUCUGGUCCCACUAGCGCCUGCGCGGACCCAGGCCAGGCCUGGAAUCUCCGGUUGGCCCUGUAAGUGCCUGGAGGGAGGACCGCUCUGGCCUCGGUCCUCCCCCAACUCUGCCCAAGCCAGACGGACAGCACCUGCAGACGCAGGGGGACUGCACAACUCCACCUGCCCAGGACCUGACCCUGGAGUGUGCUUGACCCUCCUCCUCGCCCACAGCGCCUCAGAUGUCAGGACCCUCCUCUUCACCCACAGCACCUCAGACCUCAGGACCCUGCCGUCUCACGCCUUUGUGAACCCCAAAUAUCUGAGACAGAUCUCAGUUUAUUUUGCCAAGGUUAAGGAUGCGCCCGUGACAGCCUCAGGAGGUCCUGACAACAGGUGCCUGAGGUGGCUGGGGAUACAGUUUGCCUUUAUACAUCUUAGGGAGACAUAAGAUCAGUAUGUGUAUGACGUACAUUGGUUCAGUCAGCCUUCUACUGAAUACACGAUUGAGUCUGGCCCAGUGAAUCCGCAUUUUUAUGUAAACAAUAAGGGAAGGGAGCAAUCAGAUAAGCGUUUGUCUCAGGGGAGCCCCAGAGGGAUGACUUCCAGUUCCGUCUGUCCUUUGUCCACAAGGAGUUUCUUUGGGCGCUAAUUAUGAGGGAGGCCUGUAGCUUCUUAUCAUUGUAGCUAUGUUAUUUAGAAAUAAAACGGGAGGCAGGUUUGCCUAAUUCUCAGCUUG
This 5670-nucleotide small RNA is filed under the name Pongo abelii (Sumatran orangutan). RNAcentral's name for it is "retained intron". The record is from RNAcentral. Lineage: Eukaryota; Metazoa; Chordata; Mammalia; Primates; Hominidae.